AUGGCCUGGUCAUGGUCAUCGGCACGAGCAGCGGCAAUGGCGAGCAGGGGAAACCAAUGUCGUGGAGCUUGCCUCCUGCAGUUUCUUGGAGAGGGCAGAGAGCAGGUGAGAGAGGGAACGGGAGAAGAAGAAUGGAAGGAGAAGCCGCUGGGCACGGCCGGUCCUGGUAAUGGUCGCCGGAGGUGUGGUUUGCCGGGGCAGCGGGGACGACACAAGGCGGGAGGCGACAGGGAGCUUCUCUCCCCGGCUCACGACGAGGGGAACAGGGGUUCGGCGUGGGCUGUGGUGGUUGGAUGGAUCGGUGCAUGGAUUGGAUCGAAAGGAUUCGAUCCAAGGAGAGACUAG
This 345-nucleotide ribosomal RNA is filed under the name Triticum aestivum (bread wheat). RNAcentral's name for it is "partial small subunit ribosomal RNA". The record is from RNAcentral. Lineage: Eukaryota; Viridiplantae; Streptophyta; Magnoliopsida; Poales; Poaceae.